This 253-nucleotide ribosomal RNA is filed under the name uncultured bacterium. RNAcentral describes it as "partial 16S ribosomal RNA". It matches the Rfam family "Bacterial small subunit ribosomal RNA", at positions 524 to 776 of the family's 1533-position model. The record is from RNAcentral.
UACGGAGGGUGCAAGCGUUAUCCGGAUUCACUGGGCGUAAAGGGUGCGUAGGCGGGGCUUUAAGUCAGGGGUGAAAUCCUGGAGCUCAACUCCAGAACUGCCUUUGAUACUGAAGAUCUUGAGUUCGGGAGAGGUGAGUGGAACUGCGAGUGUAGAGGUGAAAUUCGUAGAUAUUCGCAAGAACACCAGUGGCGAAGGCGGCUCACUGGCCCGAUACUGACGCUGAGGCACGAAAGCGUGGGGAGCAAACAGG